RNAcentral lists this long non-coding RNA (221 nucleotides) under Gouania willdenowi (blunt-snouted clingfish). Its description in RNAcentral is "lncRNA (ENSGWIG00000018158.1)". Lineage: Eukaryota; Metazoa; Chordata; Actinopteri; Blenniiformes; Gobiesocidae. The record is from RNAcentral.
CAGCAGGUUCCAUCUGUGGUCGUGGUGGUAGGACUGGGAGCGAAACACAGACGUGAAGUCUCUUCCUGUUCGUCCAAGAGGAUCCCACGAGCAAGGAGCACCAUCCAACCUUUCAUCAUUCUGUUUCCCAUCCCUGCAUAACAGUCCACUUUCCAAGCAUCCAAAACCAGCAUCUGCACUCGGACAACUGCAAAGGCAGCUCAGUCAGCAACAGCGCACCA